Molecule: RNA transcript, 1944 nt
Organism: Cucumis sativus (cucumber)
Lineage: Eukaryota; Viridiplantae; Streptophyta; Magnoliopsida; Cucurbitales; Cucurbitaceae
Exons: 6
Source: RefSeq, a predicted model, not a curated record
CAAUGAACACACCAACAUCUCCCCAAUGUUGAGACUCCUUAGGCAUGCCAGUCAGAGUCUUUUCUUUUCAACAUCAAAUCCUUUCUCUGUUUUUGCAAUGAUCACUCUGUACAAAAUCCAACACCAUUCGUGUUUAAAUCCCAAACAACAUACCGACACAAGAAGAGAGCACCCAUUUGAAGAAGAAGACCCUAAACUUUCAGCCAUGGCUACUCAUAAUCCCAGAUCAAGUGUGUGACAUUUGUGGUGAUAUUGUGUAUAGGGAAGUAGUUUUCUCUUGGUCUGCCUGCUAAAUAGUCUGUGAGCACAUCUAUGCUUUGCUUUCUCUUUUCUUAUCAUUUUACUUUCUUUUUUAGUUUUCUUCUUAUUUUGGUCUGAUCUUAAUAUCCUUGUUUCUUUAAUGUACUUUUGUCGUUGUCUGUACCAGUUAUUGUAUCAUACACGUUUUAGCUGUAAUACAAAAAGAUGAAACUUUUCAAAUACCUGUUUCUUUUCCAAAUUCAAAUGACGAAGGGUCAGUGUCCAUUGAUAUUCUCUUCAUGCACUCUUUACAGUAAACAUUCAAACAAUAUUGGAAGAAUGGAGAGCUCUUCAUCAAUGGAUUCCAACAGUAACAACAUGAACAACAUGUUAUUGCAUGAGGGUUUAUUUGAAGGAUAUCCCAAAAUGUUGGGUUUGUGAGUCAUGUGCUUGUCCAUUGGGGGAGCCAAACAUCAUUAUUUUGGAUGAAUUUGAGGAAGCACAUACAAAAACAACAAAUGUUGAUGUUGCUGCAUUGGCUUGUGAGCCAAACAUCAUUAUUUUGGAUGAAUUUGAGUAAACAUAUACAAAAACAAAAAAUGUUGAUGUUGCUGCAUCAGUUUGUGAGCCAAACAUCAUUAUUUUGGAUGAAUUUGAGGAAACAGAUACAAAAACAACAAAUAUUAAUGUUGCUUCUGUACUUGGACAACAACCUCCUCCAGCCACAACCGAAUCUCAAGUGAACAACGAGAUGAACCAGUGGGACGUGUGGAGCUAUUCAAAGAAACGCACGCUAAUAAGAGUGGCCAGUUCGUGAAUCAAGCAGCCAAGGAUGUGCAUAAUCAAAUGCUAGAAUUACUAUUGGUACCCACUUUAGAAGGUUCUCAACCACUUUCAGGCGACGAAAUAUGCGAAACAGUUUUGGGGAGACGACCAGGCUAUUCAAAAGAUCUCGAUUGGGGCCCCAAACCUAAGUCAAGGAAGGAUGGUAGUAGUGCAUCAAAUUUAGUGUCUCAAGAAAUACACGAUAGGGAGGUGAUGGAACUAAGAAAUACCGUUGAGACCUCGCAAUCUCGGAUUAAAGAACUUAAAGAAGGGCAAAGACGUAUGAUUGAAGAACAAAUAAAAACGUCAGAGAUGCAUGCCCGACAAAUAGAAAAAAUGAAAAAAAUGAUUGAAGAAAUGACAAGAGCAAAACGAGGACCUUGAACAUAAGGAAAAAAUGUUGAUAUUAAGGCAAGAAAAAGGUUCAAGUCCACCAAAGACUGAUGAAGAAAUCAUGGUUAUGGUUCUUGGAAAGAGACCAUUAUACAUGGAAGGAUUGGGAUAUAAAUUGAAACCUCCACGAAGUAAAGAAGCAUCUCUUACGGACAAGAGUAUGUCGAAUCUCUAGAGACUCAUCUUGUAAGGACCGAAGAAUUAUUAGAUGAUCGGUGUCGAGGUUAUGAAAGAAAGUUCAGCCAAAUUGAAGAAAUGACAAUGACUCAAAAGUUAUUGCAAGAUCAACCACAGAACAAGGGCUUCAAAAUAAGUUUAGUCAAGUCAAUACAAUAAUGAAGAAGUUUAGUGGAGGAAGUUUGUCUUCUCUUAGUAAGGUGAAAUGGGUGAUUUUGUAGUUAUACUAAUGUUUUGUAAAUGUUUUCUAAUCUAACAAACUGAAGGUCAUAUCUUUUCAAUUUAUAAAUGUCCAUCUUUCUUUUGCAA